AGGGUUGCUGGAGGUAUCAGAAGUGCGAAUGCUGACAUAAGUAACGAUAAAGCGGGUGAAAAGCCCGCUCGCCGGAAGACCAAGGGUUCCUGUCCAACGUUAAUCGGGGCAGGGUGAGUCGACCCCUAAGGCGAGGCCGAAAGGCGUAGUCGAUGGGAAACGGGUUAAUAUUCCCGUACUUGGUGUUACUGCGAAGGGGGGACGGAGAAGGCUAUGUUGGCCGGGCGACGGUUGUCCCGGUUUAAGCGUGUAGGUGUGUGUUCCAGGUAAAUCCGGUUCACUUUAACACUGAGGCGUGACGACGAGGCACUACGGUGCUGAAGCAACAAAUGCCCUGCUUCCAGGAAAAGCCUCUAAGCAUCAGGUAACAUCAAAUCGUACCCCAAACCGACACAGGUGGUCAGGUAGAGAAUACCAAGGCGCUUGAGAGAACUCGGGUGAAGGAACUAGGCAAAAUGGUGCCGUAACUUCGGGAGAAGGCACGCUGACACGUAGGUGAAGUGAUUUACUCA
RNAcentral lists this ribosomal RNA (512 nucleotides) under Salmonella enterica. RNAcentral's name for it is "partial 23S ribosomal RNA". It matches the Rfam family "Bacterial large subunit ribosomal RNA", at positions 1266 to 1773 of the family's 2925-position model. The record is from RNAcentral. Lineage: Bacteria; Pseudomonadati; Pseudomonadota; Gammaproteobacteria; Enterobacterales; Enterobacteriaceae.